AGCUUUGUGCAGUGGCAGUAUCAUAGCCAAUGAGGUUUAUCUGAAGCACGAUUAUUACUAAUUGAAAACAGAAUGUGCAUAAAUAACAAGUCAGUUAUUCCUCCAGGAAGAUCUCCCAAGGAAUCAAGGGUAGCCUUAUCUUUGAAAUAUCUCCGCAGUCAUCUGUGGGGUACAUAAUCUACAGCUGGAGAU
RNAcentral lists this small nuclear RNA (192 nucleotides) under Macaca mulatta (Rhesus monkey). RNAcentral describes it as "U4 spliceosomal RNA (ENSMMUG00000034612.3)". The stretch from base 1 to 158 matches the Rfam family "U4 spliceosomal RNA". From Rfam's summary of the family: U4 small nuclear RNA (U4 snRNA) is a component of the major U2-dependent spliceosome. The structure of U4 snRNA from yeast and human has been reported. U4 snRNA presents a k-turn RNA motif in the 5p-SL related to recognition of Snu13 protein. RNAcentral also lists the same sequence under 1 other name. Lineage: Eukaryota; Metazoa; Chordata; Mammalia; Primates; Cercopithecidae. The record is from RNAcentral.